This 66-nucleotide transfer RNA is filed under the name Marmota monax (woodchuck). RNAcentral describes it as "tRNA.Ala". It matches the Rfam family "tRNA", at positions 6 to 65 of the family's 71-position model. From Rfam's summary of the family: Transfer RNA (tRNA) molecules are approximately 80 nucleotides in length. Their secondary structure includes four short double-helical elements and three loops (D, anti-codon, and T loops). Lineage: Eukaryota; Metazoa; Chordata; Mammalia; Rodentia; Sciuridae. The record is from RNAcentral.
GGCUGUAGCUCAGUGGUAGAGCACUUGCCUAGCAUGUAGAGACCCUGGGUUCAAUUCUCAGCAUCA